UUGUGGGGCACUAAGAUAUUGGGCUGCUGCACGCCUACGGCGGUGGCCUGGCUUGGUGGCGGCUUGGAGGUGUUUGCUGUGGUGGCGGCUGUGUGUCCUGCGGCGGCGAUGUGCCGGGCCGCCGGGCAGGCUUGCCGGGCGGGCGAGUGGCAGCGCAUCGUGGCAUCAGCAAUUCAGAAGAAGGGUGGUGUUGCGGCUAGCGGUGGUCACCGCUCGAGGUCGUUUCUGGUGGUGGCAACGACGAUCAUCAUCUGGGCAGGCAGCCACAUGUUCUUGCGGGUUUGUUGUGUAGAUGCACGCAGUGAACCUCGGCGGCUGGCCCUGCAAGGCAGUGGCCAUUGCGGGGCUAUCCCGGUGCAGGGCAACGUCGGAAGACGGCGCAAGCUUCUUUUGUGGCCUACCAGUGCGAUGGCGGUGGUCGUGUGCUUGUGUCAGAGCUUUGGUGAUGGCUUCUUUGGGUUCUGGGGUAGUUUUGCAUACCUUCCAAAAGUAAAUCAACCUGGAGCUGCGGCGGGUGCUUCUCCUUCUGCAGCGCAGGACCUGGGUAUGUUCGCUGCUUUUGGUCUGCAGUGGGCUGGGUGGUGA
RNAcentral lists this unclassified non-coding RNA (585 nucleotides) under Zea mays. RNAcentral describes it as "misc RNA Zm00001eb178420". Lineage: Eukaryota; Viridiplantae; Streptophyta; Magnoliopsida; Poales; Poaceae. The record is from RNAcentral.